UAUCGGAAUCAAAAGCGAGCAGUUGUCCACUUCAUAUUUGAUUCGAAUUUGAAGGAAGCUCUGAAAUGAAAUUGCCCCGUUUCAGUGCGUAAACUAUUCUGCGAGGCCGGCAAAUGGAAACAGUGGCCUCGACCGGCAUUCGUCGUUGUUCUACGAUCAACUACGCGUUAGCAUCAAGCAUCAAGGAAUCUCUAGCUGCCUGGAAGAGCACAUGGAACUUUGGAUUCGAUCGACAACCAGAGCCGCGGACAAAUGCUAAUCCGCUCGGAUCCGACGAGUUCGAGGAGGCGAAGAACGGGCCUCGAUACACCUAUCCGCACGGUGCUUCGUUCGCGCGCAAGAGAUACUACAUUUUUCUUCUGUAAAAAACUUCCCGAACGGACGAUCACACAAACCAUACCUCGGUUCCAAAUCGGCACUGUCACACACAGGAGAUAGAUAUCACUGGGACGUGUCCGGUGGUGAAUUCGAUCGGUCACGGCGCAACGACGACGGCACGUGAUUCCGAGGAGGAUGGAAGAAAAAAAAAAGAGGUGCGUAAAUUUCCCGUGUAAAUAAAUAAAAAGCAGCUCUACGUCUCGCGCGGAUGUCGUCGACCGUGUGCCCUGUACCCGUUGCGAAUAACACAGGGGUGCGUCCGCCUCGAGGUUUUCGGGCGUAAUAGUUGCUCCGACUAAGAUUCGGGGCUACAUAUAGGAGCGCAGCCUCCCUCGCCCUCCGCCGCGACCGCCACCAUCUUCUUCUUCUUCUUCGUCGUCGUCGUCUUCUUCUUCUUCAGCUGCCGCGCCGCUGCUGCACGCGCUCGGAAGGGUGUCGCGUCGGCCGCCUCUGUUUGCUCGCCCGGUGGCGAAGCCUCCUGUGACCACCGUGUGCAUGUCGCUCUUUCCACAAUGUUGUGCGUGCACUUAGUUUAGCCGGGAGUGAGCAACGAGCCUACGCGAUUUUAACACUUGCCUCGCCGGAAUCCUAUUAAUAGAGCCACCGAGCUGCAUGGAAAAGAGGUACGCGGCGCUAUUUUCCUUUAACACUUUCGCUUCGUUCUUUACGACGCUUUUGCCUCGUUCUUUUGGCGCGUGACGGAAUUAUUCGCUCGGUUAUGGAAAUUCGUUCGUACACGGAUCCGUCGCGUCAUUCUAGUUUGCGGUUAGAGUCCGCGGAUUACGUACUAACUGUCGAAAAGAAGGCAGUCCAGUCGAUGUCGCGCGUCGCUCCGUCCGCGCGUGUAUUUUUCAAACACACACGCAAUUCCACGAAGACGAUGUAAACAACGGUCGGCUUCGCGCGAGUCACUAUGAAAGGACACCCGGUUUACGUUACCGUAGGUAACGUAACCGAAUGCCAAAAAAAUCUACUAAAGCCGUCGGGACGAGGUUCUCGAUUUUAUUGGGUUGGGGAAUAAGUUCGUAGCGGUUUU
Non-coding RNA from Megalopta genalis, 1414 nucleotides. Lineage: Eukaryota; Metazoa; Arthropoda; Insecta; Hymenoptera; Halictidae. The record is from RefSeq and is a predicted model, not a curated record.